This 492-nucleotide ribosomal RNA is filed under the name uncultured bacterium. Its description in RNAcentral is "partial 16S ribosomal RNA". It matches the Rfam family "Bacterial small subunit ribosomal RNA", at positions 29 to 507 of the family's 1533-position model. The record is from RNAcentral.
AGUGAACGCUGGCGGUAGGCCUAACACAUGCAAGUCGAACGGCAGCACAGUAAGAUCUUGCUCUUACGGGUGGCGAGUGGCGGACGGGUGAGGAAUACAUCGGAAUCUACUUUUUCGUGGGUGAUAACGUAGGGAAACUUACGCUAAUACCGCAUACGACCUACGGGUGAAAGCAGGGGAUCUUCGGACCUUGCGCGAUUGAAUUAGCCGAUGUCGGAUUAGCUAGUUGGCGGGGUAAAGGCCCACCAAGGCGACGAUCCGUAGCUGGUCUGAGAGGAUGAUAAGCCACACUGGAACUGAGACACGGUCCAGACUCCUACGGGAGGCAGCAGUGGGGAAUAUUGGACAAUGGGCGAAAGCCUGAUCCAGCCAUACCGCGUGAGUGAAGAAGGCCUUCGGGUUGUAAAGCCCUUUUGUUGGGAAAGAAAAGCAGCAGGUGAAUACCCCGAUGUUCUGACGGUACCCAAAGAAUAAGCACCGGCUAACUUCGUG